UCUGAGGACUUGACAGGUAGCACGCACCUGAUGGCAGUCUUUCUGACCCAAGAAUAGUCUGAUUUGGGACUGGGAGGCACCAACAUGCUGCUGGGAACAGUGUAUCUGACCUUUGUUCAACUAUAGGGAUUCCCCAGGUCUCCAGGGAGCCGGACACACCCAACUGCUGCUUCUGCAGGGAUUAGGGCAGUAAUUGCUCUGCAGUGGGGUAUCUAUAGAGGACUAGAGACAGAGAGAGGAGAAAAAAAGAGAAAGAAGAAGCACCGCAGCACUACUCCACUGCUUGUGAAGUUCCCCCCUGCAGGUGUUCCUAUAUGGUGGCUUGAGUCCAGACCCUUGACCACCAGGUUCCAGAUGCUACCAUGAAGCCAACCAGACUUCCCUGUUCAGAUGACCCCGCCAAUGUGUCCUGGAGCUCUGCUUCCCCAGAUCCCUGCCCCAUUAGGGAAAGAGAGGGGCAGGCUGGGAGGAUGGAUCGACCUUUCAACGCCCAUGUUCAGCAGGGGAAGCAAUUACAGAAGCCAGACCUUCCAACUUCUGCACCCCAUGGUGACCCUGGGUCCAUACUCCCAGAGGAGUAAAGAAUAGGAAAGCUAUCAGGGGAGGGGA
Long non-coding RNA from Erinaceus europaeus (western European hedgehog), 609 nucleotides. RefSeq lists it as uncharacterized. The record is from RefSeq and is a predicted model, not a curated record. The transcript has 3 exons. NCBI's taxonomy places the organism in Eukaryota, Metazoa, Chordata, Mammalia, Eulipotyphla, Erinaceidae.